GACGAACGCUGGCGGCGUGCUUAACACAUGCAAGUCGAACGAUGAACCGGUUUCGGCCGGGGAUUAGUGGCGAACGGGUGAGUAACACGUGGGCAAUCUGCCCUGCACUCUGGGAUAAGCCCGGGAAACUGGGUCUAAUACCGGAUACGACACUCCGAGGCAUCUUGGGGUGUGGAAAGUUCCGGCGGUGCAGGAUGAGCCCGCGGCCUAUCAGCUUGUUGGUGGGGUAAUGGCCUACCAAGGCGACGACGGGUAGCCGACCUGAGAGGGUGACCGGCCACACUGGGACUGAGACACGGCCCAGACUCCUACGGGAGGCAGCAGUGGGGAAUAUUGCACAAUGGGCGAAAGCCUGAUGCAGCGACGCCGCGUGAGGGAUGACGGCCUUCGGGUUGUAAACCUCUUUCAGCAGGGAAGAAGCGAAAGUGACGGUACCUGCAGAAGAAGCACCGGCUAACUACGUG
Molecule: ribosomal RNA, 464 nt
Filed under: uncultured bacterium
Lineage: Bacteria
Description: partial 16S ribosomal RNA
Rfam family: Bacterial small subunit ribosomal RNA
Source: RNAcentral